GACGAACGCUGGCGGCGUGCCUAAUGCAUGCAAGUAGAACGCUGAAGGAGGAGCUUGCUUCUCUGGAUGAGUUGCGAACGGGUGAGUAACGCGUAGGUAACCUGCCUGGUAGCGGGGGAUAACUAUUGGAAACGAUAGCUAAUACCGCAUAAGAGUAGAUGUUGCAUGACAUUUGCUUAAAAGGUGCAAUUGCAUCACUACCAGAUGGACCUGCGUUGUAUUAGCUAGUUGGUGGGGUAACGGCUCACCAAGGCGACGAUACAUAGCCGACCUGAGAGGGUGAUCGGCCACACUGGGACUGAGACACGGCCCAGACUCCUACGGGAGGCAGCAGUAGGGAAUCUUCGGCAAUGGACGGAAGUCUGACCGAGCAACGCCGCGUGAGUGAAGAAGGUUUUCGGAUCGUAAAGCUCUGUUGUAAGAGAAGAACGAGUGUGAGAGUGGAAAGUUCACACUGUGACGGUAUCUUACCAGAAAGGGACGGCUAACUACGUG
RNAcentral lists this ribosomal RNA (495 nucleotides) under uncultured bacterium. RNAcentral's name for it is "partial 16S ribosomal RNA". It matches the Rfam family "Bacterial small subunit ribosomal RNA", at positions 28 to 507 of the family's 1533-position model. The record is from RNAcentral.